GAUGAACGCUGGCGGCGUGCUUAACACAUGCAAGUCGAACGGAAAGGCCUGUACUUGUACAGGUACUCGAGUGGCGAACGGGUGAGUAACACGUGGGUGAUCUGCCCUGCACUAUGGGAUAAGCUUGGGAAACUGGGUCUAAUGCCAUAUAGGACCACUUCUUGGAUGUUGUGGUGGAAAGCUUUUGCGGUGUGGGAUGAGCCUGCGGCCUAUCAGCUUGUUGGUGGGGUAAUGGCCUACCAAGGCGGCGACGGGUAUCCGGCCUGAGAGGGGGUACGGACACGUUGGGACUGAGAUACGGCCCAGACUCCUACGGGAGGCAGCAGUGGGGAAUAUUGCACAAUGGGCACAAGCCUGAUGCAGCGACGCCGCGUGGGGGAUGACGGCCUUCGGGUUGUAAACUCCUUUCGCUAUCGACGAAGCCACCUUUGGUGGUGACGGUAGGUAGAUAAGAAGCACCGGCCAACUACGUGCCAGCCGCCGCCGUAA
Molecule: ribosomal RNA, 489 nt
Filed under: uncultured bacterium
Lineage: Bacteria
Description: partial 16S ribosomal RNA
Rfam family: Bacterial small subunit ribosomal RNA
Source: RNAcentral